CCCCUCGGUGCGCAGAAAGCUUGUGCAGCGGACGCGGUCGGGGCAGGGCCGUGUCCUCUCGUGUGUUGUCCUCAAAACCAGAGCCACCGCGGCGCCCGAACAGAGGCGCUGUCGCGUCUCCAAAGCCGGUGCUGAACGUGGCCAACACACACCCUUGUCGCGUGUGGCGGGUCGCGUGCUGUGAAUGAAUUCCCUCUUGUCCCAAGUCCACACCGGAGCCGAUCGUCUCCAGGGUGCCCACGGGGCGCGUCCUUGUGUCCCCGCGCUACCUUUUGUCUGUCUGGUGGCUUCGUGGGCGGAGAAGGACGUUUUCUGAGAAGGGGGAUCUGAAGGUUCACCAGGCCGCCUUGGGAGGAAGGUCACCUGGGGCGACGGGGUUAUUCACCGCCUUCCUCCUCAAGGUCGUCUCCCUCUGGGCGCGCGCUCCGGCCACUUCCCAGCGACGACGGAGCCUCGCCGGGCGAUUCCGGGCAGAGGAGCGCUGGGGUGAACCGGAGAGCGACACGCGGUCAAAGGAGAGAGUCAGGAAGGUACAGGUUCUGCACGGGGACAAGAGAGCCCGAUGGAAAGUGACAGGAGAACCGACCAUCCGGGAUCCCUUCCAACAACAGCAGGGAAGCCGCUGUGGUGAUCGUGGUUGGAAUAUUUGUCCACAACCCCCGGGGGGGGGGGGACUGUUGUGACUGUGAACCUGCCGAGAAGAGGUCCUUGCUCUGCGUCCAGAGAGCCUCCCAGGUGCCUCGCUGUGGAUCUCCGGAAGGUGAGGCCCAGGCCCGGGUUCUGACCCGAUGUGACAGCAUACACAUACUGGUUUUUAUGUGGGAUCUGUACCCUCUUUCCAUCUGGGUCUAAGUUCCCUGAGGCAACGAUUCGGGUUCUGCCCUUUUGUGCCCUUCUUGUAGCAUUUCCUGCCCGGGUGACAGCGAGAAGCUUUGGUGGUGCAAAGGCCCUGGGGUACUGAUGUGGGAAAUCUGUGAUACAGCCAGACUGCCCCGAGGAGGAGCCGCACGUUUGGGGUUCCAACCUGAGGCCACCUGAGUUGAGCAGCUGCCGGAGAGCUUCCCUGAGGCCGUUCCAGGGCUCCACACCAAUCACAGCGAGGCCAAGGCCAUAAAGAGCAGAAGCAGGAUCGUGCCCGGAGAACCCGCGUGUGGCAAAAUGGAGGAAGGUGGUCCCAGCGGUUUCCCCUGCUGGUUCCUGCGCCCAGUCGGGAGUCAGGAGGAAGAAUCACAAGGGACGCUCGCUCGCUCAGCCUUUGCUCAGGUAAUUCCACCAGCAGCGUGUCGCCAACACGCCUGGAUGGCCACAGCCCAGCGAUGGCCCUGGCAGGAAGUUCUGUGGCCUCGCUGGUACAGGGUCCGUCUGCGGCGCGAGCCCAGGAGGAAACCCAGCUGGGGGGUGGGGGGGGGGGAUGGGUCCCUGCUCCCUCUCGUGAUCCUGGAGGAGCGAUGAGGAACGUGCUUUUAGUUUUUCCAAAGGAGGGGAUUUAGGCACCGUCUUUCAGAUUUCUCGACGCCCCGGUCGAAAACACAAAAGGAGCAGGCGAAGGCUGGUGCGCUCACCCACGGGGCUCGCGCGGGAAACGGGCGCCUCGCAGAGAUGCUCCCGGUUGCGCCGUCCGCGCCGUCUCCGUAACAAGUGUUGGUCUGUGUGAACACAGGACCUUUGUACACCCGCCCCAUCCCACCAAGACCCCGGUGGCCCGGGACUCUGGGUGUGGUGCUCCGAGAGGUGUUAAUCCACCUAAAGAUUUAAGAACAAAAUGUCCGGGUCCCCGAGACUUAGCUCCAGGAGGCGUUUUGGUUGAGGGGGUGGUGGGGUUAGUUGGGGUCUUCGAGGGUGUGUUCUGGGUACACUUGCGAGAGUCGCGCCGAUUCGGAAUAAAAUAUAAAAUAACCGAGCCGCCAACCCCAGGACCUGUCCCUUACCGUCCCGCCCCGGCUCCCAAAUUACGGCUUAAACUCCCGCAGGGCUGGUAGGCGCCCACUGCCCACCCCGCGGGAGCCUGGCGGGGUUCGCACCAGCGCGGU
Felis catus (domestic cat) is the source of this 2030-nucleotide long non-coding RNA. RefSeq lists it as uncharacterized. The record is from RefSeq and is a predicted model, not a curated record. The transcript is spliced from 3 exons. Lineage: Eukaryota; Metazoa; Chordata; Mammalia; Carnivora; Felidae.